This 625-nucleotide unclassified non-coding RNA is filed under the name Hevea brasiliensis (rubber tree). Lineage: Eukaryota; Viridiplantae; Streptophyta; Magnoliopsida; Malpighiales; Euphorbiaceae. The record is from RNAcentral.
UGUCAUAGAAUUUGUGAAGUCUCCCCCACCAUGACGACGAGCUCCUCCGCCCCUUCCCGCAAGGCCCUGAGCAAAAUCGCCGCCAAUCGGCUUCAAAAGGAGCUCGCCGAGUGGCAGCACAACCCCCCGGCCGGAUUCAAGCACCGCGUCACCGACAACCUCCAGAGGUGGGUAAUUGAGCUCGCCGGGGCGCCGGGGACGCUGUACGCCGGCGAGGCGUUUCAGCUGCAGGUGGAUUUCCCGGAACACUAUCCGAUGGAGGCUCCGCAGGUUAUUUUUCUGGCUCCGGCGCCGGUGCAUCCGCAUAUUUACAGCAACGGCCAUAUAUGUUUAGAUAUACUCUACGAUUCAUGGUCUCCUGCAAUGACUGUAGGUUCAGUCUGUAUCAGUAUCCUAUCUAUGUUAUCAAGCUCAAACACAAAGGAACGUCCUCCCGAUAAUGAUCGAUACGUGAAGAAUUGCAGGAAUGGUAGGUCUCCGAAGGAGACGAGAUGGUGGUUCCAUGAUGACAAGGUGUAAUAACUUUCAGUCGAAUAAUGUCGGUACUCUCGAGAAACAAUUUGAUCUAAUCAAAUAGUCGGGAUGCACUGCUGUUGAUUUGUGUUGUGACAUUUUGUAAAGGGAA